Molecule: signal recognition particle RNA, 98 nt
Filed under: Candidatus Kentrum sp. MB
Lineage: Bacteria; Pseudomonadati; Pseudomonadota; Gammaproteobacteria
Description: Candidatus Kentron sp. MB Bacterial small signal recognition particle RNA
Rfam family: Bacterial small signal recognition particle RNA
About the family: The signal recognition particle (SRP) is a universally conserved ribonucleoprotein involved in the co-translational targeting of proteins to membranes.
Source: RNAcentral
AUAUCGGUUCCUCGCGCCGUGAAGUCGCAAACCCCGUCAGACCCGGAAGGGAGCAGCGGUAGUGAUGGAUGCGGGCGCCGAGGGUCAGCUGGUACGGA